CAAACCUCCCUCAGCAGGGUGAAAACACCACCCUCCACUGUUUGAAGCAAAACUGCUGGCUCUAUGGGGUCUUCAGUUCACUAAAUAUUUCCUAAAUGCCUGGUUUAUUUCACUGACAAGUCAAGGAAGUUGCCACCUUUUGGUGCUCACUGGGCUGCUGUGGAUGUCUAACCUCAUUGCCAGCCACACAGAACCUGAAGCAGGGAUCGUUGCACCACUUAAUGUGAGACGCAGAGAAGAGUUGGGGAAUCCUGUUGGACCAGGAGGAGGAAUAAUAUUAGUUGGACCAAAUGGUAGAACAGGACCUGUGUGCUCAACCUUUCUUGGGAAUUCCAUUCCUCUUUGAGGCAGGCAUGGAAUCCCAGUGAACAUCCUGCACUCUCAGUGUCCAGCUGUCUGAGGCAACAGUUGUUUCCGAUGAUAGAGAACAAUUGCUUUUUUUUCUGAGAAGACUUCCAUGGCUGAGAUGAAGGCAGUCAAAAUGGAACAACUAAUGGAAAAAGUAUUGUUCAGCUGAAAACUAAAUGUGACCUUUAUGUACCUGAGCAUAGCCGUGAAGUGGAGAUUGGAGAGACUGGGUUACCCUUUUACAUUCAACCUGGAAGUGAUACCUGUGAUGGCUGCGAACCACAGCAGGAAAAUGACAUGCUAUAAAAACUUAAUAAAGAUAACUAAAAUCACCAAGAAGUUACAAGAAUUCACAAAAUGCUUAAUAUAGUUGAAAUAAAAUUAUGGAAACUUCUCAGGAUCAGAAGUAGAUAAAGGUAAUGAUACAGAGAAGCAUUAACCUAA
RNAcentral lists this long non-coding RNA (792 nucleotides) under Pan troglodytes (chimpanzee). Its description in RNAcentral is "long non-coding RNA NONPTRT006307". The record is from RNAcentral. Lineage: Eukaryota; Metazoa; Chordata; Mammalia; Primates; Hominidae.